GACGAACGCUGGCGGCGUGCUUAAUACAUGCAAGUCGAACGGAAAGGCCCUGCUUUUGCGGGGUGCUCGAGUGGCGAACGGGUGAGUAACACGUGAGUAACCUGCACUUGUCUUUGGGAUAACUUCAGGAAACUGGGGCUCAUAUCGGAUAGGAGCUCCUGCUGCAUGGUGGGGGUUGGAAAGUUUCGGCGGUUGGGGAUGGACUCGCGGCUUAUCAGCUUGUUGGUGGGGUAGUGGCUUACCAAGGCUUUGACGGGUAGCCGGCCUGAGAGGGUGACCGGCGUCAUUGGGACUGAGGUACGCCCCAGACUCCUACGGGAGGCAGCAGUGGGAAAUAUUGCACAAUGGGCGGAAGCCUGAUGCAGCAGCGCCGCGUGCGGGAUGACGGCCUUCGGGUUAUAAACCGCUUUCGCCUGUGACGAAGCGUGAGUGACGGUAAUGGGUAAAGAAGCACCGGCUAACUACGUG
RNAcentral lists this ribosomal RNA (468 nucleotides) under uncultured bacterium. RNAcentral's name for it is "partial 16S ribosomal RNA". It matches the Rfam family "Bacterial small subunit ribosomal RNA", at positions 28 to 507 of the family's 1533-position model. The record is from RNAcentral.